RNAcentral lists this ribosomal RNA (924 nucleotides) under uncultured bacterium. Its description in RNAcentral is "bacterial SSU rRNA". It matches the Rfam family "Bacterial small subunit ribosomal RNA", at positions 8 to 916 of the family's 1533-position model. The record is from RNAcentral.
AGAGUUUGAUCAUGGCUCAGGACGAACGCUGGCGGCGUGCUAAUACAUGCAAGUAGAACGCUGAAGAAAGGAGCUUGCUUCUUUUGGAUGAGUUGCGAACGGGUGAGUAACGCGUAGGUAACCUGCCUUGUAGCGGGGGAUAACUAUUGGAAACGAUAGCUAAUACCGCAUAACAGCUUUUGACACAUGUUAGAAGCUUGAAAGAUGCAAUUGCAUCACUACGAGAUGGACCUGCGUUGUAUUAGCUAGUAGGUAGGGUAACGGCCUACCUAGGCGACGAUACAUAGCCGACCUGAGAGGGUGAUCGGCCACACUGGGACUGAGACACGGCCCAGACUCCUACGGGAGGCAGCAGUAGGGAAUCUUCGGCAAUGGGGGCAACCUGACCGAGCAACGCCGCGUGAGUGAAGAAGGUUUUCGGAUCGUAAAGCUCUGUUGUAAGAGAAGAACGUGUGUGAGAGUGGAAAGUUCACACAGUGACGGUAACUUACCAGAAAGGGACGGCUAACUACGUGCCAGCAGCCGCGGUAAUACGUAGGUCCCGAGCGUUGUCCGGAUUUAUUGGGCGUAAAGCGAGCGCAGGCGGUUUAAUAAGUCUGAAGUUAAAGGCAGUGGCUUAACCAUUGUUCGCUUUGGAAACUGUUAAACUUGAGUGCAGAAGGGGAGAGUGGAAUUCCAUGUGUAGCGGUGAAAUGCGUAGAUAUAUGGAGGAACACCGGUGGCGAAAGCGGCUCUCUGGUCUGUAACUGACGCUGAGGCUCGAAAGCGUGGGGAGCAAACAGGAUUAGAUACCCUGGUAGUCCACGCCGUAAACGAUGAGUGCUAGGUGUUAGGCCCUUUCCGGGGCUUAGUGCCGCAGCUAACGCAUUAAGCACUCCGCCUGGGGAGUACGACCGCAAGGUUGAAACUCAAAGGAAUUGACGG